GUGGGGAAUCUUCCGCAAUGGACGAAAGUCUGACGGAGCAACGCCGCGUGAGUGAAGAAGGUUUUCGGAUCGUAAAGCUCUUUCGUUAGGGACGAACGUGCUCUUUGUGAAUAAUGAGGAGUAAUGACGGUACCUAAAUAAGAAGCCACGGCUAACUACGUGCCAGCAGCCGCGGUAAUACGUAGGUGGCAAGCGUUGUCCGGAAUUAUUGGGCGUAAAGCGCGCGCAGGCGGGAUAUCAAGUCUGUCUUAAAAGUGCGAGGCUCAACCUCGUGAGGGGACAGAAACUGGUAUUCUUGAGUGUCGGAGAGGAAAGUGGAAUUCCUAGUGUAGCGGUGAAAUGCGUAGAUAUUAGGAGGAACACCAGUGGCGAAGGCGACUUUCUGGACUUUAACUGACGCUGAGGCUCGAAAGCCAGGGGAGCGAACGGGAUUAGAAACCCCAGUAGUCC
This 450-nucleotide ribosomal RNA is filed under the name uncultured bacterium. RNAcentral describes it as "partial 16S ribosomal RNA". It matches the Rfam family "Bacterial small subunit ribosomal RNA", at positions 354 to 796 of the family's 1533-position model. The record is from RNAcentral.